GCCCUUAUCGUCUAGUGGCCUAGGACACAUGGUUCUCAACCAUGCAACAGGGGUUCGAUUCCCCUUAAGGGCG
RNAcentral lists this transfer RNA (73 nucleotides) under Candidatus Nealsonbacteria bacterium RBG_13_36_15. RNAcentral's name for it is "tRNA-Glu". It matches the Rfam family "tRNA". From Rfam's summary of the family: Transfer RNA (tRNA) molecules are approximately 80 nucleotides in length. The record is from RNAcentral. Lineage: Bacteria; Candidatus Nealsoniibacteriota.